CCGACCAUGCAUCAAGUGAAUGCUUUACCACUUGGCUACUACGUCCCACCCCUUUAUUCAAAUGAUGUUUUUUGUAAGAUUUGAUGAGCAAAGUUUUCAUAAAUAUAUGCAUUACAUGUAUAUCUGCAGUGGUUUAUGAACCCAAAAUCAUGAAUUGUGGGGACACAUUUUGGAAUGUAACACAACAAUUUUAACUACAAAUAUGUAAAAUCUAAUUAUGACCCUAUUAGUAAUUUCCUAUACUUGUAUCUUUCUUUAUUUUUAAACCAUAGGUGGGCAUUUAAAAUGCCAGGGGUUGGCAUGCAUAAACCUCAGCUGAAGAUUCACAAAUAUCUGUGGUCUUCUACGUUAGCUUCCAUGUUAAGUUGUUCACAGGUAGCUCUCUUUCUCCCUAAUUAUACUGAUGGAAAGAAAUAAGGGAACACAUGGGAAUGUAGACCAAAUUUAAUUCACUCCUAACGUAGUGAUGUUUGUAUUUUAUACAAAGUUGUAAAGUGGGAUUGAAUGUCAGUAAUGUCAGAUUGACUGCCAAUAACAUGGUCAACAUCCGACACUGGACGAGUAUUUUGGUUGUUGUCACUAUUUGACCUAUGAAACUUGGUUUAUAGUUGAACCUAUAUAUACUAGUUAUUAUAUGCUCAUCUUAUUGCAUGUUAACUAAUGAUUUAAUUUUAAUUUUUAUACUUGCAUUUAUCAAUGUUCUAUUCAAUGCAUGUAAAACAAUUUAAAAUUAAUUCAAUUAAAAUUUAAAUUAUUUUAUUUUA
Gigantopelta aegis is the source of this 764-nucleotide long non-coding RNA. RefSeq lists it as uncharacterized. The record is from RefSeq and is a predicted model, not a curated record. The transcript is spliced from 2 exons. NCBI's taxonomy places the organism in Eukaryota, Metazoa, Mollusca, Gastropoda, Neomphalida, Peltospiridae.